This 68-nucleotide transfer RNA is filed under the name Alcidodes juglans. RNAcentral describes it as "tRNA-Val". Lineage: Eukaryota; Metazoa; Arthropoda; Insecta; Coleoptera; Curculionidae. The record is from RNAcentral.
CAAAUUAAAGCUUUAUUAGAAGUUUCUUAGUUACAUUAAGAGGAUUAUUGUAAAUCAAUAUAGUUUGA